AUUGAACGCUGGCGGCAUGCCUUACACAUGCAAGUCGAACGGCAGCACGGGAGCAAUCCUGGUGGCGAGUGGCGAACGGGUGAGUAAUAUAUCGGAACGUGCCCAGUAGUGGGGGAUAACCCGGCGAAAGUCGGACUAAUACCGCAUACGACCUACGGGUGAAAGCGGGGGAUCGCAAGACCUCGCGCUAUCGGAGCGGCCGAUAUCAGAUUAGCUUGUUGGUGGGGUAAAAGCCUACCAAGGCGACGAUCUGUAGCUGGUCUGAGAGGACGACCAGCCACACUGGGACUGAGACACGGCCCAGACUCCUACGGGAGGCAGCAGUGGGGAAUUUUGGACAAUGGGCGCAAGCCUGAUCCAGCCAUGCCGCGUGCGGGAAGAAGGCCUCGGUU
RNAcentral lists this ribosomal RNA (392 nucleotides) under uncultured bacterium. RNAcentral describes it as "bacterial SSU rRNA". It matches the Rfam family "Bacterial small subunit ribosomal RNA", at positions 29 to 424 of the family's 1533-position model. The record is from RNAcentral.